GUCCACGCCGUAAACGAUGCGCACUAGGUAUGAGAGGUCUGACGCCACUCGUGCCGAAACAAAAGCGUUAAGUGCGCCGCCUGGGGGAGUACGGCCGCAAGGCUAAAACUCAAAAGGAAUUGACGGGGGCUCACACAAGCGGUGGAGCAUGUGGAUUAAUUCGAAGCAACGCGUAGAACCUUACCUGGGUUUGACAUGUACGGAUGCCGUCCAUGAAAGUGGAGCCGGUUGCCUUCGGGUGAAACGUGCACAGGUGCUGCAUGGCUGUCGU
Molecule: ribosomal RNA, 271 nt
Filed under: uncultured bacterium
Lineage: Bacteria
Description: partial 16S ribosomal RNA
Rfam family: Bacterial small subunit ribosomal RNA
Source: RNAcentral